Molecule: ribosomal RNA, 423 nt
Filed under: uncultured bacterium
Lineage: Bacteria
Description: partial 16S ribosomal RNA
Rfam family: Bacterial small subunit ribosomal RNA
Source: RNAcentral
GUAGGGAAUCUUGCGCAAUGGGCGAAAGCCUGACGCAGCCAUGCCGCGUGAAUGAUGAAGGUCUUAGGAUUGUAAAAUUCUUUCACCGGGGACGAUAAUGACGGUACCCGGAGAAGAAGCCCCGGCUAACUUCGUGCCAGCAGCCGCGGUAAUACGAAGGGGGCUAGCGUUGCUCGGAAUUACUGGGCGUAAAGGGAGCGUAGGCGGAUAGUUUAGUCAGAGGUGAAAGCCCAGGGCUCAACCUUGGAAUUGCCUUUGAUACUGGCUAUCUUGAGUAUGGAAGAGGUAUGUGGAACUCCGAGUGUAGGUGAAAUUCGUAGAUAUUCGGAGGAACACCAGUGGCGAAGGCGGCUCACUGGCUCGAUACUGACGCUGAGGUGCGAAAGCGUGGGGAGCAAACAGGAUUAGAUACCCUUGUAGUCC